This is a non-coding RNA of Lactuca sativa (garden lettuce), 477 nucleotides long. The record is from RefSeq and is a predicted model, not a curated record. Lineage: Eukaryota; Viridiplantae; Streptophyta; Magnoliopsida; Asterales; Asteraceae.
UCCAAUGCCCACCUACUGUUUGAUGGAAUUUCUGAAUGAAUUGUCGUUCUUUGGAACAUUUUGAUUCAUGGGUAUGUUUUGAAUGGUCCUUAUGCUGGGAUUUUUCUGUAUCAUCAAUGGUAAUUUCACAUUCCCGUAGGUUGGUGCUCUUAAAUCUUGGUGGGAGAAAUCAAGGUGACAUGUGACUGCCGAAGGAUUUAAGUGACAAAAAAAUAACACAGUGACCGGUUAAACAGUUGUGCUCGUGUAGCGGUGUCUGGUUUCAAGAACGACAUGGUAACAACAGAGCUUCAAGCCUUCAAUUGUUUGCAACAUAUAUGUUUUUUACCAUAGUUUUCAUCAAAAUGUGUUGUAUAUAUAUUGAAUAGUUGUUGAAAUAUUACUUUAAUUGGAUGUAUCAAUGGUGUUAUUUCAUUUAUUUGCAAUUUGUAUUUGCUGUUUUGAAACCUAAUAAGCAACGACUUUAUGUUAUGUUUC